This 468-nucleotide ribosomal RNA is filed under the name uncultured bacterium. Its description in RNAcentral is "partial 16S ribosomal RNA". It matches the Rfam family "Bacterial small subunit ribosomal RNA", at positions 28 to 507 of the family's 1533-position model. The record is from RNAcentral.
GACGAACGCUGGCGGCGUGCUUAACACAUGCAAGUCGAACGGAAAGGCCCUGCUUUUGUGGGGUGCUCGAGUGGCGAACGGGUGAGUAACACGUGAGUAACCUGCCCUUGACUUUGGGAUAACUUCAGGAAACUGGGGCUAAUACCGGAUAGGAGCUCCUGCUGCAUGGUGGGGGUUGGAAAGUUUCGGCGGUUGGGGAUGGACUCGCGGCUUAUCAGCUUGUUGGUGGGGUAGUGGCUUACCAAGGCUUUGACGGGUAGCCUGCCUGAGAGGGUGAACGGCGACAUUGGGACUGAGAUACGGACCAGACUCCUACGGGAGGCAGAAGUGGGGAAUAUUGCACAAUGGGCGGAAGCCUGAUGCAGCAACGCCGCGUGCGGGAUGACGGCCUUCGGGUUGUAAACCGCUUUCGCCUGUGACGAAGCGUGCGUGACGGUAAUGGGUCAAGAAGCACCGGCUAACUACGUG